RNAcentral lists this long non-coding RNA (849 nucleotides) under Musa acuminata (dwarf banana). Its description in RNAcentral is "long non-coding RNA (MACU_LNC006008)". The record is from RNAcentral. Lineage: Eukaryota; Viridiplantae; Streptophyta; Magnoliopsida; Zingiberales; Musaceae.
GGUCAUCAAGAAAUCAUUGGGAUGUCACAUGCCACAUUUUAGAUGAACUUGUUCUCCAAGGGGACAAUUUUUAGAGGUUUGAAGUCCAUUCUUCGAAGCUAUGCGCAUAUGCCUCGUUUGAAGCAUUGAUAUCAGUCUUUGGACUUAAAUAGCAUUAUGAAUUGUUAUUUAGGAAGUGAAUAAAAUGUUAUUGAUUUCAUCACAAAGCCAAAAAAAUCUUAGAGAGACUUGGAAAGGGUAGAUCAUGUGUUAUUUUUCCUUGCUACUAAAAAGGAGUUCCUUGUGCUUUACAUGCAGCUUAGAAAAGGUGGAUUUGCAGCAGAUGAACCAUCUAAGAUCCUGGUAUGCUAUUUCUUUGUUGCCUUCGACUCCUAACAAAUGCAAGUUUGACUUCAUUUUAUCCCUGGUGAAACAGUGCUCCAAACAGCUGAGAGAUCAUAGCCACUAGCACAACAUUUCACGUCAGAUUCUCCAAGUCAGCCCCACGCGACAAAGUCAAUUCUUGUCUUUGCCUCAUUAUGAAGGCAAUUAUAUGCAGAGAAGGAAAACAAAAGUGGCCACCGACAAAUAUUAUUCAACGCAUUGUACGACUCUGCCAGCAUUUUCUAAUUAAUGGCGGAAUUAGGCGCAUCGCUUGCUAUAGAAGACAAAGGUUGAGAUUGAGACUGCACCAAAGGGAAUCUAAGAGACAGCUUUUUUCCUCAUGCUUGUCCAUGAUGAUUGCUACUGCAACCUAAACUUCCCGCACAUCGAGUUCUUCAUGGAUCGCAUGCCAGGUCAGUAUAUCAGUGAAUUAGUUUUCCCAAGUCAAAUUUACUUCUGCUCAGCAGUGAAACAAAGGAGUUGCUU